UUAUGUGAUCGUCUCUCGCAUAUCAAUAAGCGGAGGAAAAGAAACUAACAAGGAUUCCCCUAGUAACGGCGAGUGAAGCGGGAAGAGCUCAAAUUUGAAAUCUUAAAGGGUUUCCCUUUACGAAUUGUAGUUUAAAGAAGUGUUUUCUGUUGAGGUUUUGGUAAAAGUUCUUUGGAAUAGGACAUCAUAGAGGGUGAGAAUCCCGUAUUUGACCUUUACUUCCAACUUUGUGAUACACUUUCAAAGAGUCGGAUUGUUUGGGAAUGCAGUCCAAAAUGGGUGGUAAAUUUCAUCUAAAGCUAAAUAUUGGCGAGAGACCGAUAGCGAACAAGUACCGUGAGGGAAAGAUGAAAAGAACUUUGAAAAGAGAGUUAAACAGUACGUGAAAUUGUCAAAAGGGAAGCGUUUGACACCAGUGUUGUUUUUCUGGAAAUCAAUUAAAGAACUGUUUAUGCUAAGUUGUUUAGACUUUAUCAGCUAACUGUUUAGUUUUGAGCUUUUCUUUAAUGCACUUUUCAGUUAACAAGUCAACAUCAAUUUCUUUUGCUGUAAAAAAGCUUGAGGAAGGUGGCUUGAGAUUCGUCUUAAGUGUUUAUAGCCUCUUGCCUAUGCAGUCGGAGAGAUUGAGGUCUGCAGCGUAGAUCCUUCGGGGCUAAAUGCAUUUGUGCUAAGUUAUAGCAUUUUAUAGACAACUUGUUGACUAUGAUUUGUCUUGUAGCUUACUCGCUUAUGUUAUUUUACCUACGCUUAGGAUGUUGAUCUACAGAGCGAGAGU
This 775-nucleotide ribosomal RNA is filed under the name uncultured Neocallimastigales. RNAcentral describes it as "partial large subunit ribosomal RNA". It matches the Rfam family "Eukaryotic large subunit ribosomal RNA", at positions 24 to 631 of the family's 3401-position model. The record is from RNAcentral. Lineage: Eukaryota; Fungi; Neocallimastigomycota; Neocallimastigomycetes; Neocallimastigales.